UACGUAGGGGGCAAGCGUUGUCCGGAAUCAUUGGGCGUAAAGCGCGCGUAGGCGGCUCUGUAAGUCCGUUGUGAAAGUCAAAGGCUCAACCUUUGAAAGCCGAUGGAUACUGCAGGGCUAGAGUCCGGAAGAGGAGAAUGGAAUUCCCGGUGUAGCGGUGAAAUGCGCAGAUAUAGGAAGGAAUACCAGUGGCGAAGGCGGCCUCCUGGAUCGAUACUGACGCUGAGGCGCGAAAGCGUGGGGAGCAAACAGG
RNAcentral lists this ribosomal RNA (253 nucleotides) under uncultured bacterium. RNAcentral describes it as "partial 16S ribosomal RNA". It matches the Rfam family "Bacterial small subunit ribosomal RNA", at positions 524 to 776 of the family's 1533-position model. The record is from RNAcentral.